GGGCGAUUAGCUCAGUUUUGGUUAGAGCGCUGCCCUUACAAGGCAGAAGUCACUGGUUCGAAUCCAGUAUCGCCCA
This 76-nucleotide transfer RNA is filed under the name Candidatus Electryonea clarkiae. RNAcentral describes it as "tRNA-Val". It matches the Rfam family "tRNA". Rfam says of the family: Transfer RNA (tRNA) molecules are approximately 80 nucleotides in length. Lineage: Bacteria; Pseudomonadati; Candidatus Electryoneota; Candidatus Electryoneia; Candidatus Electryoneales; Candidatus Electryoneaceae. The record is from RNAcentral.